Molecule: long non-coding RNA, 412 nt
Filed under: Homo sapiens (human)
Lineage: Eukaryota; Metazoa; Chordata; Mammalia; Primates; Hominidae
Description: HSALNT0044003
Source: RNAcentral
AGGUGAUCACAGGAUCUGGUUUGCCACUGAAAGGAAUCUUGAUGCUGACCACUUCACCUCGGAGAGCAUGAACUGCUCCCAUGCCUUCAAGAGUUUUAGUGGGUAACCAGGAUGGAACUGCGGUGUUGCUUGCAGGAGAAGCUUACUACUGGUUUCUACUUCUCCAACCUCAUUGGUGGCUAUGCAGGCACUGUCUCCAGACUGUCUAUAUUCAACCCAGUAUCCAAGAAUUUCUUUACCACCAUCACAUUCAGGUUUCUCCCACUGUAGAGUGACACUAUCUUUGGAUAUUGAAAGAAUCUCAAGUUCUCCUGGUUGGCUUGGUUUAUCUGAAAUAUUUUAAAAUAAUGAAAAGGGAGUCAGCUUUACUGGUGAAAUAAAAGGACCAAACAUGGCUUGCUUCUUUAAUUUA